RNAcentral lists this ribosomal RNA (422 nucleotides) under uncultured bacterium. RNAcentral describes it as "bacterial SSU rRNA". It matches the Rfam family "Bacterial small subunit ribosomal RNA", at positions 358 to 772 of the family's 1533-position model. The record is from RNAcentral.
GGAAUAUUGGACAAUGGGGGAAACCCUGAUCCAGCGACGCCGCGUGGGUGAAGAAGGCCUGCGGGUUGUAAAGCCCUUUCGGUGGGGAAGCAAAGCCUCGACCUAAUACGUCGGGGUCUUGACGUAACACACACAAGACGCACCGGCUAACUCUGUCCCAGCAGCCGCGGUAAUACAGAGGGUGCGAGCGUUGAUCGGAAUUACUGGGCGUAAAGCGCACGGAGGCGGCUCUGCAAGUCGGGUGUGAAAUCCCCGGGCUCAACCUGGGAACUGCAUUCGAUACUGCAUUGCUGGAGUAUGGGAGAGGGAAGUGGAAUUUCCGGUGUAGCGGUGAAAUGCGUAGAUAUCGGAAGGAACACCAGUGGCGAAAGCGACUUCCUGGACCAAUACUGACGCUCAGGUGCGAAAGCGUGGGGAGCAAA